UACAGAGGCCACAAGCGUUAGGCGGAAUCACUGGGCUUAAAGCGUGUGUAGGCGGGUUGGUAAGUACCUUGUGAAAUCCCACGGCUUAACCGUGGAAUUGCUUGGUAUACUGCCGAUCUUGUGUCAUUUAGGGGCGGCCGGAACAGAUGGUGGAGCGGUGAAAUGCGUAGAUAUCAUCUGGAACGCCAAUGGUGCAGACAGGCUGCUGGGAAUGAACUGACGCUGAGGCACGAAAGCCAGGGGAGCGAACGGG
RNAcentral lists this unclassified non-coding RNA (253 nucleotides) under uncultured Tepidisphaeraceae bacterium. Its description in RNAcentral is "contains 16S-23S intergenic spacer region". It matches the Rfam family "Bacterial small subunit ribosomal RNA", at positions 524 to 776 of the family's 1533-position model. Lineage: Bacteria; Pseudomonadati; Planctomycetota; Phycisphaerae; Tepidisphaerales; Tepidisphaeraceae. The record is from RNAcentral.